AUCUUAGUCUUCAAUUUGCCAAAAUUGAAAAAAACAAUUUCUCUGCUUGCUACUUGACAUUCGCCUCGCUCGCUUUUGGUUAUUCGUGCCGCUCGCCGCUCAAUACUCGCCUGGUUGUUGCUUGACGCUCGCACCACUUGACGCUCACCGCUCCCCUCUCUUAGCCAACCUCACUUGUCACUGAACUCAUUGGAUUGGUCUGAUCCUCGAUCGCCUUUUUAGGAAUAAAAAAAUGAAAAAAAAAUUAUCAAUUGAUCCCGGAUUGACCCUGGAAUCAAACCAAACCCAUUAGGUUUGUCUAGUCAUCGAUCAUAAGCUUAAUAGGGUCGGUUCUCGGUCUUGAAAAUUGAAUAUCAACACUGUGCAAGUUGGUCUUAGGGUUAGAGGAUAGAUCAGCCCAACCCGAACCAUGCUCACUCCUAUCCACUGCCAUUUUGAUAUAGUUUUAAUUACAUAUGUUGGUUGUUUGCGUCGACACUAUUCUCCAAAUUAACUGAGUCGAAAAUUUGGAUAUUGUCAAAAUUUAAUAUAUAAACCUUAUAGUUAAUUUUAAUCAAAAAAGAAAAAAGACUUUUUAAGAUAUUUUGAAAAUAAAAUAAUUACACAUUUUAGUAAAAGUACUUAUUUAAACAAAGUCCAUGAAUUUCAAUAUAGUAUUUAAACUUUUAAUUUGUUCCAGGACUAGUUUGAAUAUGUAAUAAAGUUCGAAAUUACAUUAAACAAAUUAAAAAUUAAUGCGCCAUACUAUACAUCAAGCUAAAGUUUAAGGAUCACAUUUAUGAAUUAUAUUAUACAUUGAGCUAAAAUUUAGGGGUUAUAUUAAAUAAAUUAAAAAUUUACAGGUUACGUUACAUAUUGAAUCAAAGUUUAAGGGCUAUUUACGUUAUUUUUUCCGAAAUAAAAAGCUUCAUGGAAAGGCAUCUUUAUAAGAUCCAACAAGUGACCCACUAUGUUUUGCAAUUUUUUCCAUAAAUAAGCGACACUUGAAUUGGACAUAAAGAGUGAACUGGAUCAGAACAGAACCUGAAAUCUGGAGGCGACCGACGUGUCCGGUG
This 1055-nucleotide long non-coding RNA is filed under the name Eucalyptus grandis. RNAcentral describes it as "long non-coding RNA (EGRA_LNC001969)". The record is from RNAcentral. Lineage: Eukaryota; Viridiplantae; Streptophyta; Magnoliopsida; Myrtales; Myrtaceae.